CCCUCAGGAUAGGUGGCGCUCUAGCACGACCACCCACGCAGUUUUUAUCCAGUAAAGCGGAUGAUUAGAGGUCUUGGGGCCGAAACUUCU
RNAcentral lists this microRNA precursor (90 nucleotides) under Sorex araneus (European shrew). Its description in RNAcentral is "miRNA (ENSSARG00000020060.1)". The record is from RNAcentral. Lineage: Eukaryota; Metazoa; Chordata; Mammalia; Eulipotyphla; Soricidae.